AGUGAACGCUGGCGGUAGGCCUAACACAUGCAAGUCGAACGGCAGCACAGUAAGAGCUUGCUCUUACGGGUGGCGAGUGGCGGACGGGUGAGGAAUACAUCUGAAUCUACUUUUUCGUGGGGGAUAACGUAGGGAAACUUACGCUAAUACCGCAUACGACCUACGGGUGAAAGCAGGGGAUCUUCGGACCUUGCGCGAUUGAAUGAGCCGAUGUCGGAUUAGCUAGUUGGCGGGGUAAAGGCCCACCAAGGCGACGAUCCGUAGCUGGUCUGAGAGGAUGAUCAGCCACACUGGAACUGAGACACGGUCCAGACUCCUACGGGAGGCAGCAGUGGGGAAUAUUGGACAAUGGGCGCAAGCCUGAUCCAGCCAUACCGCGUGGGUGAAGAAGGCCUUCGGGUUGUAAAGCCCUUUUGUUGGGAAAGAAAAGCAGCAGGUUAAUACCCCGCUGUUCUGACGGUACCCAAAGAAUAAGCACCGGCUAACUUCAUG
This 492-nucleotide ribosomal RNA is filed under the name uncultured bacterium. Its description in RNAcentral is "partial 16S ribosomal RNA". It matches the Rfam family "Bacterial small subunit ribosomal RNA", at positions 29 to 507 of the family's 1533-position model. The record is from RNAcentral.